Molecule: ribosomal RNA, 468 nt
Filed under: uncultured bacterium
Lineage: Bacteria
Description: partial 16S ribosomal RNA
Rfam family: Bacterial small subunit ribosomal RNA
Source: RNAcentral
GACGAACGCUGGCGGCGUGCUUAACACAUGCAAGUCGAACGGAAAGGCCCUGCGCUUGUGGGGUGCUCGAUAGGCGAACGGGGGAGUAACACGUGAGUAACCUGCCCUUGUCUGUGGGAUAACUUCAGGAAACUGGGGCUAAUACCGGAUAGGAGCUCCUGCUGCACGGGGGGGGUUGGAAAGUUUCGGCGGUUGGGGAUGGACUCGCGGCUUAUCAGCUUGUUGGUGGGGUAGUGGCUUACCAAGGCUUUGACGGGUAGCCGGCCUGGGAGGGUGGCCGGCCACCUUGGGACUGCGGUACGCCCCAGACUCCUACGGGAGGCAGCGGUCGGGAGUAUUGCGCAAUGGGCGGAAGCCUGAUGCGGCAACGCCGCGUGCGGGAUGCCGGCCUUCGGGUUGUAAACCGCUUUCGCCUGUACCGUAGCGUGAGUGACGGUAAUGGGUCAGGAAGCACCGGCUAACUACGUG